Nyctereutes procyonoides (raccoon dog) is the source of this 73-nucleotide non-coding RNA. The record is from the annotation of a RefSeq genome assembly. Lineage: Eukaryota; Metazoa; Chordata; Mammalia; Carnivora; Canidae.
GCCUGGCUGGCUCAGCUGGAAGAGCAUGUGACUCUGGAUCUCAGGGUUGUGGGUUUGAGCCCCACACUGGGUG